CUUCUGUCCUCUGGGUCCCCACAAGCCUGGAUGAACUCAAGAUCUGACUCAGUGGCACAGUGAGGAGACCUUUGAGGCCUCAGUGACCAUCCUUGGACUUCACCUCUCACGGCUUUCAGGCAGAGAGGCCCUCCCAUGCCCACAACAGGCUGAGCCCAGCCUUCCUCGGGGUUUGCUUCCAGGCCUGACUUUUACUCCCCUUUCUAAGUGUGCUCCCGGGAAUGCUGUCUACUUGUUGCGAUUUUACUCCCGUGGCCUGUGCUAGCUGCCUGCUUGGCCGUUGGGACUGAAGGGAUGCUCAUCCACUUGGCACACUGACUGCAAGCCUGGCACCGGCCUUGCCUUUGUUCUCCCAUGAGUCCUCUUGAAGGCAA
RNAcentral lists this long non-coding RNA (374 nucleotides) under Homo sapiens (human). RNAcentral describes it as "non-protein coding lnc-GLB1L2-1:2". Lineage: Eukaryota; Metazoa; Chordata; Mammalia; Primates; Hominidae. The record is from RNAcentral.